This 292-nucleotide ribosomal RNA is filed under the name uncultured bacterium. Its description in RNAcentral is "partial 16S ribosomal RNA". It matches the Rfam family "Bacterial small subunit ribosomal RNA", at positions 505 to 796 of the family's 1533-position model. The record is from RNAcentral.
GUGCCAGCAGCCGCGGUAAGACGAGCCACACAAACGUUAUUCGGAAUCACUGGGCUUAAAGGGUGCGUAGGCUGCGCAGCAAGUUGGGUGUGAAAUCCUACAGCUUAACUGUAGAAGUGCACUCAAAACUGCUGUGCUCGAGGGAGACAGAGGUGAGCGGAACUGAGGGUGGAGCGGUGAAAUGCGUUGAUAUCCUCAGGAACACCGGUGGCGAAAGCGGCUCACUGGGUCUCUUCUGACGCUGAGGCACGAAAGCUAGGGUAGCGAACGGGAUUAGAAACCCCCGUAGUCC